This 460-nucleotide ribosomal RNA is filed under the name uncultured bacterium. RNAcentral describes it as "partial 16S ribosomal RNA". It matches the Rfam family "Bacterial small subunit ribosomal RNA", at positions 338 to 795 of the family's 1533-position model. The record is from RNAcentral.
CCUACGGGUGGCAGCAGUGAGGAAUAUUGGUCAAUGGACGAGAGUCUGAACCAGCCACGUAGCGUGAAGGAUGACUGCCCUAGGAGUUGUAAACUUCUUUUAUAUGGGAGUAAAAUGUUCCACGUGUGGGAUUUUGUAUGUACCAUAUGAAUAAGGAUCGGCUAACUCCGUGCCAGCAGCGGCGGUAAUACGGAGGCUCCGAGCGUUAUCCGGGUUUAUUGGGUGUAAAGGGAGCGUAGGUGGAUUGUUAAGUCAGUUGUGAAAGUUUGCUGCUCAACCGUAAAAUUGCAGUUGAAACUGGCAGUCUUGAGUACAGUAGAGGUGGGCGGAAUUCGUGGUGUAGCGGUAAAAUGCUUAGAGAUCACGAAGAACUCCGAUUGCGAAGGCAGCUCACUGGACUGCAACUGACACUGAGGCUCGAAAGUGUGGGUAGCAAACAGGAUUAGAUACCCGGGUAGUC